AGAACACCUGCACUUGGCUGACCUUCCCUUCUCCUAAAAAUACAGGAUCGGUCUCAGGCCAUGGACCUGGCAACCCUAAUUGAAGAAGCAACCUAAAAAUGACAACAAAGCAGCAGGAUCCUGGGAAAAUGGCCGCGAAGAGUGCAGGAAAAGGUGCCGUCAUUGGAAACACUUUGCUGCAGGCUCAGGCAAAAAGAGUGACCAGCCCCAUGCUUUGGAUGUUCCUUAAAGGUCUGAAGUCAGCUGUGGAGAAGGGAGGUGUGGCCAGCAGAGGACAGAGUCACCUCAAAACACGGCCAGAAAAAUAAUUUUUGCUGCUUUUCAAGUAACUAGUGAACCCAUAGCCUAAAACUGACAAAUCCACCCAAUCCUAUGGUAUAGUGAUAUCAAAAUGUUUGCAGUAUAU
Molecule: long non-coding RNA, 406 nt
Organism: Rhineura floridana
Lineage: Eukaryota; Metazoa; Chordata; Lepidosauria; Squamata; Rhineuridae
Exons: 3
Source: RefSeq, a predicted model, not a curated record